This 506-nucleotide ribosomal RNA is filed under the name uncultured bacterium. Its description in RNAcentral is "partial 16S ribosomal RNA". It matches the Rfam family "Bacterial small subunit ribosomal RNA", at positions 29 to 523 of the family's 1533-position model. The record is from RNAcentral.
AGUGAACGCUGGCGGUAGGCCUAACACAUGCAAGUCGAACGGCAGCACAGGAGAGCUUGCUCUCUGGGUGGCGAGUGGCGGACGGGUGAGGAAUACAUCGGAAUCUACUCUGUCGUGGGGGAUAACGUAGGGAAACUUACGCUAAUACCGCAUACGACCUACGGGUGAAAGCAGGGGACCUUCGGGCCUUGCGCGAUUGAAUGAGCCGAUGUCGGAUUAGCUAGUUGGCGGGGUAAAGGCCCACCAAGGCGACGAUCCGUAGCUGGUCCGGGAGGAUGAUCAGCCACACCGGAACUGAGACACGGUCCAGACUCCUACGGGAGGCAGCAGUGGGGAAUAAUGGACAAUGGGCGCAAGCCUGAUCCAGCCAUACCGCGUGGGUGAAGAAGGCCUUCGGGUUGUAAAGCCCUUUUGUUGGGAAAGAAAUCCAGCUGGCUAAUACCCGGUUGGGAUGACGGUACCCAAAGAAUAAGCACCGGCUAACUUCGUGCCAGCAGCCGCCGUAA